RNAcentral lists this ribosomal RNA (613 nucleotides) under uncultured bacterium. RNAcentral describes it as "bacterial SSU rRNA". It matches the Rfam family "Bacterial small subunit ribosomal RNA", at positions 338 to 1331 of the family's 1533-position model. The record is from RNAcentral.
CCUACGGGAGGCAGCAGUAAGGAAUAUUGGUCAAUGGAGGCAACUCUGAACCAGCCAUGCCGCGUGCAGGAAGACGGCCCUAUGGGUUGUAAACUGCUUUUGAACUAGAGAAAACCUUGGUACGUGUACCGAGUUGAUAGUAUAGUUAGAAUAAGCAUCGGCUAACUUCGUGCCAGCAGCCGCGGUAAGACGAAGGAUGCAAGCGUUAUCCGGAUUCAUUGGGUUUAAAGGGUGCGUAGGCGGACUGAUAAGUCAGUGGUGAAAUCUCUCAGCUUAACUGAGAAACUGCCAUUGAUACUGUUAGUCUAGAGUACAGAUGAUGUGGGCGGAAUAUGACAUGUAGUGGUGAAAUACUUAGAUAUGUCAUAGAGCACCGAUUGCGAAGGCAGCUCACAAAACUGUAACUGACGCUGAGGCACGAAAGUGCGGGGAUCAAACAGGAUUAGAUACCCUGGUAGUCCGCACCGUAAACGAUGAUUACUCGUUGUUGGCGAUAUGACAGUCAGCGACCAAGCGAAAGCGANAAGUAAUCCACCUGGGAGUACGCCGGCAACGGUGAAACUCAAAGAGUAGUUAGGCGNGNGAGNGCGACGACGACGACGAGGAGGAGGAG